AUUUUAAAUAGAAAAGGAUUCGACGGGCGGGAUAACCCAACAUCUCAGACACGAGCUGACGACAACCAUGCACCACCUGUCACUUUGUCCCCCGAAGGGGAAGGCUCUAUCUCUAGAGUUGUCAAAGGAAGUCAAGAUUUGGUAAGGUUCUUCGCGGUGCUUCGAAUUAAAACGCAUGCUCCACCGCUUGUGCGGGUCCCCAUCAUUCCUUUGAGUUUCAACCUUGCGUCGAAAAAAUCCCCGGGGCGGAGUGGUUAAUGCGAUAGCUGCAAACUAAGGGGGGGAACCCCCCAACACUUAUCACUCACGUUUACGGCAUGGAAAACGGGGAAAAACGUGUGAAACACCCUCAACUUUCGAAUCAGAUAGUAAGGGGAACAAAAAUGCCUUCACACGGGUGUGAAACCAAUCCUUGCGAAUUUCAGGCUACCAUGGAAGUCCGCUUGCCUAUUCUGCACUCAAGGUUUCCAGUAAGAAAAGGACCUCCAGGGUUGAGCGGGGCUUUCCAACAAAAUUAAAAAAACGCCAAGCGGCUUUAACCCCAAAAUCCGGAAACGCUUGCAAAG
RNAcentral lists this ribosomal RNA (566 nucleotides) under Staphylococcus aureus. Its description in RNAcentral is "partial 16S ribosomal RNA". The record is from RNAcentral. Lineage: Bacteria; Bacillati; Bacillota; Bacilli; Caryophanales; Staphylococcaceae.